GCCGUGUCGAAACUCAAAAAGAAACUUUGCUUAGGCAUCGGGGGCAAGCCCGACCACCGAACUACGCCGGCGAACCAAAAUCCGACGACAAUUUAUUGAAGUAUUUCCACAGCCGCCGGAGAAGACGCUUUAGCAAAAGGAUAUAAUAGAUAGAAGAAGGGUGUGCACUGUGAAGUGGAGCCGAGGAGGAUUGAACUAUGGC
RNAcentral lists this unclassified non-coding RNA (202 nucleotides) under Hevea brasiliensis (rubber tree). The record is from RNAcentral. Lineage: Eukaryota; Viridiplantae; Streptophyta; Magnoliopsida; Malpighiales; Euphorbiaceae.